CGAACGGGUGAGUAACGCAUCGGAACGUGCCCAGUAGUGGGGGAUAGCCCGGCGAAAGCCGGAUUAAUACCGCAUACGACCUACGGGUGAAAGGGGGGGAUCGCAAGACCUCUCGCUAUUGGAGCGGCCGAUGUCAGAUUAGGUAGUUGGUGGGGUAAAAGCCUACCAAGCCGACGAUCUGUAGCUGGUCUGAGAGGACGACCAGCCACACUGGGACUGAGACACGGCCCAG
This 232-nucleotide ribosomal RNA is filed under the name uncultured bacterium. RNAcentral's name for it is "partial 16S ribosomal RNA". It matches the Rfam family "Bacterial small subunit ribosomal RNA", at positions 99 to 334 of the family's 1533-position model. The record is from RNAcentral.